RNAcentral lists this transfer RNA (84 nucleotides) under Cytophagales bacterium. Its description in RNAcentral is "tRNA-Tyr". It matches the Rfam family "tRNA". Rfam says of the family: Transfer RNA (tRNA) molecules are approximately 80 nucleotides in length. Their secondary structure includes four short double-helical elements and three loops (D, anti-codon, and T loops). Lineage: Bacteria; Pseudomonadati; Bacteroidota; Cytophagia; Cytophagales. The record is from RNAcentral.
GGGGAGAUUCCAGAGCGGUCAAAUGGGACGGACUGUAACUCCGUUGCUUCGGCUUCGCAGGUUCGAAUCCUGCUCUCCCCACCA